CAAGAGCGUAUGUAAAAGUUGUUGCAGUUAAAAAGCUCGUAGUUGAACCUUGGGUUUGGUCGGCCGGUCCGCUUUUUUGCGAGUACUGGAUUCAACCGAGCCUUUCCUUCUGGCUAACCAGUCGUUUCGGCGGCUGGCGAACCAGGAUUUUUACUUUGAGAAAAUUAGAGUGUUCAAAGCAGGCAUUAGCUUGAAUAUAUUAGCAUGGAAUAAUAGAAUAGGACGUUAUGGUUCUAUUUUGUUGGUUUCUAGGACCAUCGUAAUGAUUAAUAGGGACGGUCGGGGGCAUCAGUAUUCAGUUGUCAGAGGUGAAAUUCUUGGAUUUACUGAAGACUAACUACUGCGAAAGCAUUUGCCAAGGACGUUUUCAUUAA
This 374-nucleotide ribosomal RNA is filed under the name uncultured eukaryote. RNAcentral describes it as "partial 18S ribosomal RNA". It matches the Rfam family "Eukaryotic small subunit ribosomal RNA", at positions 592 to 976 of the family's 1831-position model. The record is from RNAcentral.